This is a long non-coding RNA of Nasonia vitripennis (jewel wasp), 767 nucleotides long. RefSeq lists it as uncharacterized. The record is from RefSeq and is a predicted model, not a curated record. The transcript is spliced from 2 exons. Lineage: Eukaryota; Metazoa; Arthropoda; Insecta; Hymenoptera; Pteromalidae.
UCUGAAAAUAAAUUUCAUUUAUCAAUUUUUGUUUUGUGGAGAUUUUUCUAUACGAUGCGUUCAGCUAAUUUCAUAAUAAAUUAUACUUAUAACGCGCUAUAUAUUUAUUCUCAGCGACGAUACGAGAUUUUUUAAUUCCUCAAUUUAAUCUUUUGUGAUAGUAGUAAGGUCACUGAAAAUUUAUCAUACUACUGUGCAAUAACGCCGUGAUAUAAUAACACACGCGCACACACACACACGCACAUAUAUAUUGCUUUCAUUUCGAUAUACAUGAUGUAACUAUAUUUGGUGUGCUUAUAUUUGAUGAAAAGUUCAUCUGCGGAUCGAUUGAAUAAAACUGCAAUCGGAUCUGAUCAUCCCAGUUUUGCGUGAGGUAAACAAACAGUUAAGUGGCGCAGAAACGUGCAGCAACAAUGAUAAUAGGUAUAGACAUACCAGCUUCCAAGCGAUGUGUGCUCGCGAUGUGCCGAACGAGGCUGGAAGAUUUCGGAGCAGCCUUGAAUGCGGCAGCCUCGUGAUUAAAUAGCAUCGACCUGGCGGUGCACCUGGCGAUCUGCGCUACCAGUCGCGCCAUGGCUCUGUGCAGCAAAUUGAGAAUCAGUUAUCGGGAAAAAUAAUCGCUAAUCCUUCGAGGACGACGCGUGCAGGGACCAGCACUGCCGGACUUGCGUUGUGUUAUAACCUCAACGGAGCGGCGCGUCGUCUGCACUCGCGCGUGCACUUGGCUCGAGCCGCGGCUGCGUAAUGAGCGGCUAUUCUCCGAGAAA